This 250-nucleotide ribosomal RNA is filed under the name uncultured bacterium. Its description in RNAcentral is "partial 16S ribosomal RNA". It matches the Rfam family "Bacterial small subunit ribosomal RNA", at positions 355 to 602 of the family's 1533-position model. The record is from RNAcentral.
UGAGGAAUAUUGGUCAAUGGACGCAAGUCUGAACCAGCCAUGCCGCGUGCAGGAUGACGGCUCUAUGAGUUGUAAACUGCUUUUGUACGAGGGUAAACGCAGAUACGUGUAUCUGUCUGAAAGUAUCGUACGAAUAAGGAUCGGCUAACUCCGUGCCAGCAGCCGCGGUAAUACGGAGGAUUCAAGCGUUAUCCGGAUUUAUUGGGUUUAAAGGGUGCGUAGGCGGUUUGAUAAGUUAGAGGUGAAAUUU